UUGUAGGUUAAGUACCUGACGAGGUUUAAAAAUACCAUGCUUAGAGCGAGUGGUCAUAGGAUGAUUGGAGACGACAGGAUUGGGAGGUGAUGUUGGGUGAGGAUCUGUGGCACAAGCCAGGUCAAGUGGAGACACGUCAGGGGCACUUGGGCGAGAAGGAGGUAAAGAGGAUGGUUGUGUUUCGGAACAUAUUGCCCCAUCAAUUGGGGAAGAGUGGAGUGGAGUAGGAACAGAG
RNAcentral lists this long non-coding RNA (235 nucleotides) under Musa acuminata (dwarf banana). Its description in RNAcentral is "long non-coding RNA (MACU_LNC002677)". The record is from RNAcentral. Lineage: Eukaryota; Viridiplantae; Streptophyta; Magnoliopsida; Zingiberales; Musaceae.